UGGCUAUCUCUCUUUAUUUGUUUAUAUAUAUAUAUAUAACUAAAUGUGUGUGUGUGUGUGUGUGUUUGGAUGUAUUUUUCAUUGAUUAUGCUUGGUUGUAAGCACUGUCAAGCUUGUUUGUUCAAGAAUGAUUCUAUUGCCAAUUUUGUGAACAUUUCAACUUCGACUCUUCAUCGGGAUUGAUGCUGCUCACCUGACCACCAUCAGGGAAUUUGCUUAUUUUAUUUGUUCUUUUGGGACAUGAGAGAGUCAUUAGUAGGCGUCAGAAAUGACAGAAGAAUGGUGUUUUGUCUAAAGUUUGUAUCGUUGUUUUUUUCAAGAACAAAAGUAGAGGUGUCAAAAUCACCUUUUCAGGUAGCAAAGGAUUGUAUGGAUGCAAACAAAACAAGUGGACUAUCUUCUUCUUCUUUAAUUAAAUUUUUGUUUUAUUUGCCUGGAAUUUAGAAUCUAGAUUAAAAAUCAU
RNAcentral lists this long non-coding RNA (463 nucleotides) under Physcomitrium patens. Its description in RNAcentral is "long non-coding RNA (PPAT_LNC002668)". The record is from RNAcentral. Lineage: Eukaryota; Viridiplantae; Streptophyta; Bryopsida; Funariales; Funariaceae.